UACGUAGGGGGCUAGCGUUGUCCGGAAUCAUUGGGCGUAAAGCGCGCGUAGGCGGCCAGAUAAGUCCGGUGUGAAAGUCAAAGGCUCAACCUUUGAAUGCCGCUGGAAACUGUCUGGCUUGAGUCCGGAAGGGGCGAGUGGAAUUCCUGGUGUAGCGGUGAAAUGCGCAGAUAUCAGGAGGAACACCAGCGGCGAAGGCGGCGCUCUGGGCCGGAACUGACGCUGAGGAGCGAAAGCGUGGGUAGCAAACAGG
Molecule: ribosomal RNA, 253 nt
Filed under: uncultured bacterium
Lineage: Bacteria
Description: partial 16S ribosomal RNA
Rfam family: Bacterial small subunit ribosomal RNA
Source: RNAcentral